Molecule: ribosomal RNA, 468 nt
Filed under: uncultured bacterium
Lineage: Bacteria
Description: partial 16S ribosomal RNA
Rfam family: Bacterial small subunit ribosomal RNA
Source: RNAcentral
GACGAACGCUGGCGGCGUGCUUAACACAUGCAAGUCGAACGGAAAGGCCCUGCUUUUGUGGGGUGCUCGAGUGGCGAACGGGUGAGUAACACGUGAGUAACCUGCCCUUGACUUUGGGAUAACUUCAGGAAACUCGGGCUAAUACCGGAUAGGAGCUCCUGCUGCAUGGUGGGGGUUGGAAAGUUUCGGCGGUUGGGGAUGGACUCGCGGCUUAUCAGCUUGUUGGUGGGGUAGUGGCUUACCAAGGCUUUGACGGGUAGCCGGCCUGAGAGGGUGACCGGCCUCAUUGGGACUGAGAUACGGCGCAGACUCCUACGGGAGGCAGCAGUGGGGAAUAUUGCACAGUGGGCGGAAGCCUGAGGCAGAAACGCUGCGUGCGGGAUGACGGCCUUCUGGUUGUAAACCGCUUUCGCCUGUGACGAAGCGUGAGUGACGGUAAUGGGUAAAGAAGCACCGGCUAACUACGUG